AUUGAACGCUGGCGGCAUGCCUUACACAUGCAAGUCGAACGGCAGCAUGGAGGAGCUUGCUCCUCUGAUGGCGAGUGGCGAACGGGUGAGUAAAGCAUCGGAACGUACCGUGUAGUGGGGGAUAACGUAGCGAAAGUUACGCUAAUACCGCAUACGCACUGAGGUGGAAAGCAGGGGAUCGCAAGACCUUGCGCUAUACGAGCGGCCGAUGUCAGAUUAGCUAGUUGGUAGGGUAAAGGCCUACCAAGGCGACGAUCUGUAGCGGGUCUGAGAGGAUGAUCCGCCACACUGGGACUGAGACACGGCCCAGACUCCUACGGAGGCAGCAGUGGGGAAUUUUGGCAAUGGGGGAAACCCUGAUCCAGCCAUUCCGCGUGUGCGAUGAAGGCCUUGGGUUGUAAAGCACUUUUGGCAGGAAGAAAUCGCAUCAAUUAAUACUUGGUNUGGGAUCGAGGUACCUGGCAGAAUAAGCAA
RNAcentral lists this ribosomal RNA (474 nucleotides) under uncultured bacterium. RNAcentral describes it as "bacterial SSU rRNA". It matches the Rfam family "Bacterial small subunit ribosomal RNA", at positions 30 to 493 of the family's 1533-position model. The record is from RNAcentral.